Molecule: ribosomal RNA, 274 nt
Filed under: uncultured bacterium
Lineage: Bacteria
Description: partial 16S ribosomal RNA
Rfam family: Bacterial small subunit ribosomal RNA
Source: RNAcentral
AUACAGAGGGUGCAAGCGUUAAUCGGAAUUACUGGGCGUAAAGCGCACGUAGGUGGUUCAUUAAGUCAGAUGUGAAAGCCCCGGGCUCAACCUGGGAACUGCAUUUGAAACUGGUGAGCUAGAGUAUGGUAGAGGUAAGUGGAAUUCCAGGCGUAGCGGUGAAAUGCGUAGAUAUCUGGAGGAACAUCAGUGGCGAAGGCGACUUACUGGACCAAUACUGACACUGAGGUGCGAAAGCGUGGGGAGCAAACAGGAUUAGAAACCCCUGUAGUCC